Molecule: transfer-messenger RNA, 364 nt
Filed under: Chloroflexaceae (filamentous anoxygenic phototrophic bacteria)
Lineage: Bacteria; Bacillati; Chloroflexota; Chloroflexia; Chloroflexales
Also listed under: 1 other name
Description: JAAUTZ01 sp012031225 Standard tmRNA
Rfam family: transfer-messenger RNA
About the family: Bacterial tmRNA, also known as 10Sa RNA or SsrA, is named for its dual tRNA and mRNA-like properties. Its role is to liberate the mRNA from a stalled ribosome.
Source: RNAcentral
GGGGAUGCUUGGUUUCGACAGGGGAGGAAUACCGUAGAUUGCAGGCCGAGCCGCCCAGUCUCGUUAAAGGGGCACAAGCCAAUAACUGGCAACAACACUUUUCGCGCUCAGCCUCAGCUGGCGCUCGCCGCUUAAUUAAGUGGCGCGCUGUUUCUCGGUUCGUCCGGUAACGGGGAAAACAGCGUCAACUAGCCGGAUGCUCCGUGUGCUGUAUCUGUGGGCACGCGGCUAAGAUUAACAGAAUGGUCUGUUGCCACCUUUGUUUGUUGUGGGGGCGCAGACGACACACUACAAUAAACUAAGCCUGUAGCAUGUCUAUGGCGGAAUCUUUUGGACAGGGGUUCGAUUCCCCUCAUCUCCACCA